Molecule: ribosomal RNA, 639 nt
Filed under: Bacillus zhangzhouensis
Lineage: Bacteria; Bacillati; Bacillota; Bacilli; Caryophanales; Bacillaceae
Description: bacterial SSU rRNA
Rfam family: Bacterial small subunit ribosomal RNA
Source: RNAcentral
UUAGCGGCGGACGGGUGAGUAACACGUGGGUAACCUGCCUGUAAGACUGGGAUAACUCCGGGAAACCGGAGCUAAUACCGGAUAGUUCCUUGAACCGCAGGGUUCAAGGAUGAAAGACGGUUUCGGCUGUCACUUACAGAUGGACCCGCGGCGCAUUAGCUAGUUGGUGGGGUAAUGGCUCACCAAGGCGACGAUGCGUAGCCGACCUGAGAGGGUGAUCGGCCACACUGGGACUGAGACACGGCCCAGACUCCUACGGGAGGCAGCAGUAGGGAAUCUUCCGCAAUGGACGAAAGUCUGACGGAGCAACGCCGCGUGAGUGAUGAAGGUUUUCGGAUCGUAAAGCUCUGUUGUUAGGGAAGAACAAGUGCGAGAGUAACUGCUCGCACCUUGACGGUACCUAACCAGAAAGCCACGGCUAACUACGUGCCAGCAGCCGCGGUAAUACGUAGGUGGCAAGCGUUGUCCGGAAUUAUUGGGCGUAAAGGGCUCGCAGGCGGUUUCUUAAGUCUGAUGUGAAAGCCCCCGGCUCAACCGGGGAGGGUCAUUGGAAACUGGGAAACUUGAGUGCAGAAGAGGAGAGUGGAAUUCCACGUGUAGCGGUGAAAUGCGUAGAGAUGUGGAGGAACACCAGUGGCG